UACGUAGGUGGCAAGCGUUAUCCGGAAUUAUUGGGCGUAAAGCGCGCGCAGGCGGUUUCUUAAGUCUGAUGUGAAAGCCCACGGCUCAACCGUGGAGGGUCAUUGGAAACUGGGGAACUUGAGUGCAGAAGAGAAAAGCGGAAUUCCACGUGUAGCGGUGAAAUGCGUAGAGAUGUGGAGGAACACCAGUGGCGAAGGCGGCUUUUUGGUCUGUAACUGACGCUGAGGCGCGAAAGCCGGGGGAGCAAACAGG
This 253-nucleotide ribosomal RNA is filed under the name uncultured bacterium. Its description in RNAcentral is "partial 16S ribosomal RNA". It matches the Rfam family "Bacterial small subunit ribosomal RNA", at positions 524 to 776 of the family's 1533-position model. The record is from RNAcentral.